AUGCCACAUUCCUAAUAUGGUAUC
RNAcentral lists this non-coding RNA (24 nucleotides) under Arabidopsis thaliana (thale cress). The record is from RNAcentral. Lineage: Eukaryota; Viridiplantae; Streptophyta; Magnoliopsida; Brassicales; Brassicaceae.